Molecule: ribosomal RNA, 254 nt
Filed under: uncultured bacterium
Lineage: Bacteria
Description: partial 16S ribosomal RNA
Rfam family: Bacterial small subunit ribosomal RNA
Source: RNAcentral
UACGUAGGGGGCGAGCGUUACCCGGAUUUACUGGGCGUAAAGCGCGUGUAGGCGGCUGGUCAAGCGUGGUGUGAAAUCUCCGGGCUCAACCCGGAAACUGCAUUGCGAACUGACCUAGCUGGAGUGCAGGAGAGGGCAGCGGAAUUCCCGGUGUAGCGGUGAAAUGCGUAGAUAUCGGGAAGAACACCAGUGGCGAAGGCGGCUCACUGGCCCGGUACUGACGCUGAGGCGCGAAAGCGUGGGGAGCAAACAGG